Molecule: ribosomal RNA, 454 nt
Filed under: uncultured bacterium
Lineage: Bacteria
Description: partial 16S ribosomal RNA
Rfam family: Bacterial small subunit ribosomal RNA
Source: RNAcentral
GAUGAACGCUGACAGAAUGCUUAACACAUGCAAGUCAACUUGAACUUCGGUUUGGGUGGCGGACGGGUGAGUAACGCGUAAAGAACUUGCCUCACAGAUAGGGACAACAUUUGGAAACGAAUGCUAAUACCUGAUAUUAUGAUUUUAGGGCAUCCUAGGAUUAUGAAAGCUAUAUGCGCUGUGAGAGAGCUUUGCGUCCCAUUAGCUAGUUGGAGAGGUAACGGCUCACCAAGGCGAUGAUGGGUAGCCGGCCUGAGAGGGUGAUCGGCCACAAGGGGACUGAGACACGGCCCUUACUCCUACGGGAGGCAGCAGUGGGGAAUAUUGGACAAUGGACCAAGAGUAUGAUCCAGCAAUUCUGUGUGAACGAUGAAGUUUUUCGGAAUGUAAAGUGCUUUCAGUUGGGAAGAAAAAAAUGACGGUACCAACAGAAGAAGUGACGGCUAAAUACGUG